UACGUAGGGUGCGAGCGUUGUCCGGAUUUAUUGGGCGUAAAGAGCUCGUAGGCGGUUUGUUGCGUCGGCCGUGAAAACCUGCAGCUUAACUGUGGGCCUGCGGCCGAUACGGGCAGACUUGAGUUCGGUAGGGGAGACUGGAAUUCCUGGUGUAGCGGUGAAAUGCGCAGAUAUCAGGAGGAACACCGGUGGCGAAGGCGGGUCUCUGGGCCGAUACUGACGCUGAGGAGCGAAAGCGUGGGGAGCGAACAGG
This 253-nucleotide ribosomal RNA is filed under the name uncultured bacterium. Its description in RNAcentral is "partial 16S ribosomal RNA". It matches the Rfam family "Bacterial small subunit ribosomal RNA", at positions 524 to 776 of the family's 1533-position model. The record is from RNAcentral.